RNAcentral lists this long non-coding RNA (5437 nucleotides) under Olea europaea (common olive). Its description in RNAcentral is "long non-coding RNA (OEUR_LNC004383)". The record is from RNAcentral. Lineage: Eukaryota; Viridiplantae; Streptophyta; Magnoliopsida; Lamiales; Oleaceae.
AAAGCUACCACGUGCCAUUUCAUGAAUAUUACAUACAUGAUACAUCACCAAGGGCAGUGUUUUUUUCACUUGAGCAUUGAACUAAUCUACCUGGAUAUUGUUACAACCGUAAAUACAUGGUACAUCAAGCAUCAAUUUCAUUCACAACUUUCUCAUGGAUGAGGCCAUUAAUGUCAUCCCAGGCAUCAACAAGUUAAAUCACAAUGUAAAACGAAGCUUCAAAUUUGUUUGCUUGAAUUUCUCCAUCCCCAAGGUACAUUAAGAAUCACCCGUACUUUAAUUACAUGUUUACGAAUUUAUUGAAUAAAUAUUAAGUACUUACACACACACACACACAAAUGGGGUUUAUGCUCAGUAUGUGAAUGAACAAGUAAAAAUAAUUGUAUUAUGCAUUUUCGGGUAAACUAACUGAUGAGAUUAGCAGCAACGUGUAGCAUAAACCGGUGGGAGAUGGAAGGACUACUGGUAUACUAGUCGGCAAAGAGUGCUCCGAUUGGGGAUGAGUGCUUCGGUCGGCCAAGGCACGGUGACGAGAGGGAGGCGACGAGAGGGAAGGAGGGUUUGGAACAUUAUCUCUUUCCUUUUGAUUUCCCGCUUCUGGUUUUGCCCCUCUUGUUUUCUUUCUUUAGUUUUUUCUUCUUCUUCUUCUUCUUCUUUUUUUUUUUUUUUUUAAUUGUGCAAUAACACGUAAACGAAAAUUCAAUUGCCUUUUUUCAUUCCUGGCUGACUAGCAUUAUUCUAUCUAUAUACCCCUUUAAAUUUGAAGUCAAAACAAGAAGAUGCGUUUUUUAAAAGCAGUCUUCUGGGCAAUCGCGCCAAACUCCAAUCGAUUAAUAAUGCCUCUCUAAUUUCCCAAACCUAAAAAAAAUUUCUGGUAAGAUUUUUUUCUUCUUCUUUCAGUAAUUCAAUAGUUCGAUUUAACUAUUAUUAUGCUUGCAUAGCAGAAUUAAUUCAAUUAUUCCUUCGAGCAUAUGAUGGUGAUAAAUAUGAUUUAAAAGUAGUGUAUGGGAUGUGAUGAAAUUUUAUGGUUUGCUCCUUUGCUUGGUUGGGUCUAUUGUUUAUAGAUAGUGUUAUAUCUGAUUGAUCUCUGGGCUCCGGCACACGGCUAUACUUCCGAUCGAGAAUAAGCACAUAACUGGGUAUCCGUUUCCCCUUAACUUGUAUGCCAUUUCAGUUGUUUCACAAUUAAUUUACGCAUCAUGCAGUCCUCGAAUCAUUGGUUCCUAAUGCGUGGUUGGUGCUACCAUUUCCCAAUCCCUGUUUUGGAGAAUCCAUACUGCCUAGGAAGACAUCAGGGCUAGAGGUGUGCUACUUCUCACUACAAGUAAUAAGCCUUUCACCUCAUGGCGGUGGGAUAUUCCACUGGCCACCACGUUACAUCACGAUACUGAAUUGGCUUCAGACUAACAAUUGCACCUGCAGGCUGCAGCCAUAUGCAUGCAAGGAGCAGGCCCAACACUAUAGCUGCAGUGGCAAAAGGGCUUACUGGCUCAACAGCUCCUCUGCUGUCAAAGGUAGAAUCUGCAGCAGGAGAUGCACAUUGUGUGCAUGCAGGAAGCCAUGUUUGAAGUCUUGAAGGUAGUUCAAGUAACCUGCACCGAAUAUAGAGUGGGGCAGGCACCAGAAUAUCUAAAGGUGUGGUUCUAUCUAGGAAAUAUGGGGGCAUAGAAUUCUCCUAGAGCUUGGACAUGUAUUCAGAGGCUAGAUAUACCACGUUCCAGUAUGUUCUUUAGUAUAUUCAAUACAUGAAAUUUAAUAUACAAUUGAGAGAGAUUCUGUAGGAUGGCAUCCAGUCUGUAGGGUGGUAUCCAGAUAUUCCUAUUUCUAUAUAAGUUUUUGGAAAGAUUCUAGAAAACUUCCCUCAAGCAUUGGAUAAAUGAAUUUCCACCAUCCAUUGAGGUGGAAGCUACAAAUGGCGAGCAAAGGCCCUAAUUUUCAAAACAAUGAAGGGACUGUUGUAAACAAGACGAAGGAGAAAGAGGCACAUUUCUUCCAAACUCUCUUGUGCACUUACUUUAGUUAAUUACUUGGUUUACCUUUUAGCUAUCUAGUUAGGCAAUGCACGCAGAUUGCUUACAUGGUCUGUUGUGGUUGUCAAAAAUUUGAUUGCAUUAUAUCUUCACAUAAAUGUAGCAAUGGACUGAGUGGAGCGAUUUAGUAAACUGCCGACUCCAAAUUAUUUGGAGUGGGACUUCUGCUGCUGUUGUUUGAGUUAGGUAGCCUGACUUUGAUUAGUACAUUGGUUGUGGGGUUUGCUGAACACAGAGCUGGCCUCUGGAAUUUUUGAGGCCCCAGGUGACCAACCGUUACGAGGCCCUUAAAAUACUUUUUUUAACAAGCCUAACAAACUUAAAUAUAUAAAUAAAUAACAACAAUUAGCACUUAGCAACCAUGUUUUAGUCUAUUAGAUGAUUCCCAAACGCAAAAACAAAAUGUCCAUAAUUAAGAUCCGGAAACUCAAUCUGCAGAGACUUAAAGCAUGUGAUUUAUGAAAGAGAGAUAGAGUAGAUAUGCCUUGGGAAAUGAGUUUUACACAAAUUUAGACACACCAGAUACUUCACUAAUUAUUUUGUAAACUCACGGCACCUCACAAUUAUGUUUAUCACUCAUGGCACUUCCCACUCAUUAUCUCUCUAACACACACGUGUAUAUAUAUAUAUAUUUAUGCUCUCUCUCUCUCUCUAUAUAUAUACACACACACAUAUAUAUAUACACGUACUGCUUGUCUCUCUAUCUUUCUCUACUUGCUCUCUUCCCACUCCCACACUACUCUCCACACACACACAAUUCAUACAACACAUAUCUACUAUCUAGACAAUUCUUCAAAAAAUAUCAGCCUUCUUACUUCUCCAGAUUAUUCAGCCAAGGCGGUGCAAGAGAAAACUCCAGAAUGGCGGUGGUUGCUGCUCGAACCUGAUUCUUCUAGUUUCUUCUAGCCAUGGUGCAUGGAUGCAUAAUCUAGAAAUAAUGUUGGCUGAAGAUGGACAACAAAAAUAUUCUGAAUUGAAGGGGCUGUCCCUUCAACUUCAGUUUCCUUUCCUUCCCGCGAUGUAUCCCUUUCCUUCCCUAACGCUUAACAGUUAACCCUUUUCUAUUGGUGCUGGUAUGAAUUUUGAGGCCCUAGGCCAAAGCCAUAUUCCUGAGGCCCUAGGCGUUUGCCUAGGUGGCUUAGCCUCAGGGCCGGCUCUGGCUGAACAUGAGGUUGGUCGUAGUUUAAUGCUUUCAGUAUGCAUUAGAGGAGCUAAUUUGGCAUGUGUACUAGGAAAGGGCCAAGUUCUAACCAUGUGAGAACAUGCCUAACUUGCCUCUGUUUUUAACCAUUGGAAGUUAAUUGAAUGCAAUGUCGACCUUAAGAUAAAGAUAUUUCUAGCUUUCAAAUGAUAAUGAGUUAAUUGUUAAGUGCAAUUAUAAAAGUUGAACAUCUGAGAUUGGAUUUCAGACCUUUUAGGCACAGUACUGUUUGUUGUCUCCUUAGAAGAAGCAAAAAUGUGGACUUGCAGGCGUAAGACUUAAUGGUCGAGACAGAGGGCUUCAAUAACAGGCGACUUCUACUAAAAACACUGUGGACCCAACUUUUGUGUUUACUUUGCGACCUGGUCUGCAAGCUACAAUGCCUCACACAGGGAAAAAAAAUGUAAACCCUUUUCACUCAACUACGUUAAAUAACAUCAAAACAAUUGAAAAGCAAAUCAUCUUGCCAAUGGCCAAAUGGAAAAUUAAAAAGUUGAUCUUCAUUAAGUACUUAAUGUCUUUCAGGCCGAAUACACUGAUCUUCAUUAAGUACUUAAUGUCUUUCAGGCUGAAUACACUGAGUUGCAUCUCUCCGUUGUUUUACCGGGUUGAACUUUGGCUCAAUGUGCCACUUGUUGUAGAAUGAAGUUUUUACUUAACAUCAAGAGAUGAGAACAUUUUAUUUCUUGAUUAUUUAGGAUAUCAGAUUGAUUUCAGUUUGCUGAAUGAGUAAUUAUCACAACAGUUCAGAUUAUAACAUUACUGCUUUUUGUGCCACCCCCCCAAAAUUUAUCAGUGACUCUAAAGUAUCUUACAGUUAGCUCCAAGUACUUAAAAUGUGUCAUAUAAUGUACAAAUGGGUAUGAUAUUGUGGAGGAUUGAUGAUUUUUUGUGCACCUAAAAGCAGCUAUAACAAAUAUCUCUGCUGCGUGGCUGAUGGAGAAAUACUGGAGUAGCUUAGACGUGCUCUAAUUUUUACCUGUCAUAUAUGAAGGUGAAAAUACUGUACAUCACGUGUAUUAUUUUCCUUUUCUUUAUUUUAUGCUAUUUGGAAUUAGGUUUUUGUUGGAGCACCCCUAAGGAUGGUUUCGGCAUACUAUAUAACCAUUAGCGUAAUGAUUUCUGAUUCCACAUUUGAGUUGAAUUACUUGAUUCUCAUUUCUUAAACACAUUGCAGAUGGUUAUACCAAUAAUUUUCGCCAUGAUUUUUGAAUCUUGUAAUCUCCAAACAUUUGAACGAGAAUUCAUAAGCCUUUAUGUUAUGAUGUAUGGAAGAAAAGAUGUUUUUACAGUAAAGUAAACUGCAUUUUCUUCUUCCUGCAUUGAAAUUUCUUCAUAUUUCUCCAAUAUUUAGUCAAAUCUUUAUUUUCUAGCCUAUGUAUUAGAUUUUCACCUUCUAAAAAUAAUAAGGAAGCAGAAAAGAAUUUAGAAAAAUGAAAAGCUAGUUUUCCAUGAAACUUCUAAUAGUUAAUGUGGAAGUAGAAAUCUUUCGAACAGAUUAACCAGAAUUAAAUCAGUCCGAACCUUGAGCACAUCCUCUGUCUCCAAAAGGCAUCCGGAAUGCUUACAUAUGACUAGAAUACCCCAUCUUUGUCUCAUUAACAAUAGCUCAGUCCCCAAUUCGUCUCCCUCUAUAUUUUUUCAUAUUUGAACUUCCUUCUCUUCAGGUUAUGCAUCUGUUUAACACUGCAAAUUCUGCCUUUCUUCUUUUUAAGAUAGGAAUAGUUGAAUAUAAACAAUGUUAGGCAAAAAAACUUUUCACAUUUCACUGAUCAUCUAAUUUAAUAGGUUGAAAAUGACAAUGUUGUUGCAAGAAUAGAAAAAACCAUUUCAUGUGAUGACAUGGGGUGAAACAUGGGGAUCUUACAAACAUCUCCUUAUUGAGGUACAUCCUGAAUUCAUGCUAAACAUUGGGCAACAUAAUUUAUACUGGUGGUAGCCACGUGAUCAUGAUUGGACUUCUUACCCUAUGUAACCCAUCUUUCCAUAUCAAAGAUCCAAAUUCUGGAGCUGUUUGCCUAGAUUUUGUAGUGAUAGUAAUCUUGUAAGAUAGCUUCUUAAGUCUGCUGUUGAAAUUUAGUCUUGCAGGUUCGACCUUCACGACUGCACCCUUAAAAGGUGAAAUUACAACAUGGUAGCUUGAAUUUGGAGGACCAACAUUGGUGACUGUUCUGCGUAGGAUCACAGAUGUGACGUUUGCCGUCUC